UAUGACCAAUUUACUAACCAAAUUAUAAUUUAUUUAUCCACUAUUUUUUAUUUUACUACAUAACAUAUUAGCAUACACUAAUUUACUCCAAACUCAAACUGCAUUUAUACAUAAGCAAUAAAGAAUAUAUUUGCCGAGUUCUUACAGAAGACAUACAUCAUGACACCAUUGCCAAUUGCAGUGAUUACAUAAUCUUAUAACUCUCUCUCUACAUAUUGAUCAUAUAAGCUUACCACAGCACCUUAAUUUUCCAAGAUUUUGAUAAAAACUAGAAAUAGCACCUAUUAAAGGAUUUGCAUAUCAAUGAUGUAGCAGGGAUAAGGUUAGGUGGCCUUUUUGUCACAUACAUACACCAACGUUUUUUGACCUUUUUGUUUUACUUGCUUCUAAUUUUUGCUUUAUAUGAACGGACCAUUUGUAUGCUCAAUCUCAUCUUUGUUCAGAUAUGCAUGUUAAUGUUAUAAAUCCUAUGUUUUUCUGGUACUGAAAGCACAGGUAACAAUGGCCAAUUAGUAUAGUCUGUAAAAAUUUAACUAUUUAGUCUCAUGGUGGGGACCAAUAUAUUGAUAUGAUUUAUACUAGUCGUGCAUAGAAUUUGACCCACACUUAUACUAUAUGUCAAAGGAUUCACAUUCCACUAUUGAAAUUGAAACCUAUUCAUGAGAAUUAACUAAUAACAUUGGUUAUUUGGAUGAGUGAUAUCACCUUUUUUUCAAUAUUCAUGAUGAUUAGCUAAUAGUGUUU
Molecule: long non-coding RNA, 744 nt
Filed under: Medicago truncatula (barrel medic)
Lineage: Eukaryota; Viridiplantae; Streptophyta; Magnoliopsida; Fabales; Fabaceae
Description: long non-coding RNA (MTRU_LNC002872)
Source: RNAcentral